ACAAUGCCCAAACACACGCACCAAGAAGUCAUCAAAGACAGCCCAACUCACAGCCCAUGAGGGACCCUGAGUACUGCCUCUGACCUCUCUAUGGCAAGCCAAAUGGCCAUGGGAAGACCCCAUGGAGUGUCAGAAUGAUGCCGUUGAGGGCAAGGAUUUUAGACCGGUCAUGGAUUCUGCCUGUGCACUGGGCUCUACCACUUUCUAGCUAUCUGGCUACUAGCAAGUUACCUUAACAAUCUAAGUUUCAACCUCCCCAUUCGUGAAAUGGAGAUGAUGUCUUAGUCAUAGAAGUAGCAAGUCUACUGCAUAUCAACAGUGUAGCACUGAGCCUGGCUCUUUGUAAGUGUUCAGUAAGUGUUACUCAUUAUAAUGUAUUAUUAUUAUUACUACUACUACUACUUUUUUCUUUUUUUUUUGAGAUGAACUCUCGCUCUGUUACCCAGGCUGGAGCGCAGUGGGAUGAUCUCUGCUCACUGCAGCCUCUGCCUUCUGGGUUCAAGUGAUUCUCCUGCCUCAGCCGCGUGAGUAGCUGGGGUUAUAGGCAUGAGCUACCACGCCCAGCUUAUUUUUGUAUUGUUAGUAGAGGCCGCAUUUCACCAUGUUGGCUGGGCUGGUCUUAAACUCCUAACAUCAAAUGAUCCACCCACCUUGGCCUCCCAAAGUGCUAGGAUCACAGGCGUGAACCACCGUGCCCAACCUACUACUACCAUUUUAAAAGCCUCUACCUAUAAAGGAUCACAAUGCUUUGAAAAGGAAGUGCAGAGGUUGAAGGGUGUCUCAAGGAGGGCAGUGAUCAAAACCAUACUAAGUAUUUGAAAAUCAGAAGAAAAGGUUGGGUGAGGGUAGAUCCUGGAUGAAAUAAUAUUAUUAAAUAGCUUUUCAAGUAUAGACAUUGAAGAGCUACAAGCUGGAAAGGGGGCCAAAACUAACUCGUUUUUUGGUAUACCUUACCAUAUGCCAAAUACCAGACUGCAGAGUUUACAUUUGUUAUUGCAUUCAAUCCCCAUUGCAACCCUCUGAGGUUGUUAUUAUCAUUCCCACUUCACAGAUAAGGAAACAGGCCGAGAGACGCAAGUCAAACAGCAAAGGAUGGUCUGCUGUCUGUCUGACUCCAAUGCCAAUGGUCUUUCCUCUAUAACCUAAAGCAAUAAAACCCCUGCAACAUCUA
RNAcentral lists this long non-coding RNA (1171 nucleotides) under Homo sapiens (human). RNAcentral's name for it is "long independently transcribed non-coding RNA 2727 (LINC02727)". The record is from RNAcentral. Lineage: Eukaryota; Metazoa; Chordata; Mammalia; Primates; Hominidae.